UGGGCGUAUCUGUAUGCUA
Molecule: microRNA, 19 nt
Filed under: Homo sapiens (human)
Lineage: Eukaryota; Metazoa; Chordata; Mammalia; Primates; Hominidae
Description: hsa-miR-585-3p
Gene: hsa-miR-585-3p
Source: miRBase by way of RNAcentral